CCCGACUAAAUGGUAGGUCAUGAAUAAAUCAUUAAAUCUCAUUAUCAAUCAUAUAAUAGAUUCGAUUAGCUCAAGUUCAAUUAUGAUCCUUAUGAAAACUCUUUUUUAUUAAUCACACUGCUGUGGCCAUAAACUCUUGGACUUAGCCUCUCAGAUCUUAUAGGACUACUUCUCUCUAUCAAGAUCGAUGAUUCUAUCUAGAUGUGUAUCAUACUCCUAUAGUGAACCAACUGUCGUCAAUAUCUACUACAAAAACUCAUCG
Molecule: long non-coding RNA, 262 nt
Filed under: Elaeis guineensis (African oil palm)
Lineage: Eukaryota; Viridiplantae; Streptophyta; Magnoliopsida; Arecales; Arecaceae
Description: long non-coding RNA (EGUI_LNC043864)
Source: RNAcentral